This 442-nucleotide ribosomal RNA is filed under the name uncultured bacterium. RNAcentral describes it as "partial 16S ribosomal RNA". It matches the Rfam family "Bacterial small subunit ribosomal RNA", at positions 338 to 795 of the family's 1533-position model. The record is from RNAcentral.
CCUACGGGUGGCAGCAGUGGGGAAUAUUGGGCAAUGGGCGCAAGCCUGACCCAGCAACGCCGCGUGAAGGAAGACGGCUUUCGGGUUGUAAACUUCUUUUAAUAGGGAAGAGCAGAAGACGGUACCUCUUGAAUAAGCCACGGCUAACUACGUGCCAGCAGCCGCGGUCAUACGUAGGUGGCAAGCGUUGUCCGGAUUUACGGGGUGUAAAGGGCGUGUAGCCGGGCUGACAAGUCAGAUGUGAAAUCCCGUGGCUCAACCACGGAACUGUAGUUGAAACUGGCGGUCUUGAGUAUCGGAGAGGCAGGCGGAAUUCCUAGUGUAGCGGUGAAAUGCGUAGAUAUUAGGAGGAACACCAGUGGCGAAGGCGGCCUGCUGGACGACAACUGACGGUGAGGCGCGAAAGCGUGGGGAGCAAACAGGAUUAGAUACCCGGGUAGUC